UACGUAGGGGGCAAGCGUUAUCCGGAUUUACUGGGUGUAAAGGGAGCGUAGACGGCGGUGCAAGCCAGAUGUGAAAGCCCGGGGCUCAACUCCGGGACUGCUUUUGAAACUGUACAGCUUGAUUGCAGGAGAGGCAAGUGGAAUUCCUAGUGUAGCGGUGAAAUGCGUAGAUAUUAGGAGGAACACCAGUGGCGAAGACGGCUUGCUGGACGAUGACUGACGUUGAGGCGCGAAAGCGUGGGGAGCAAACAGG
RNAcentral lists this ribosomal RNA (253 nucleotides) under uncultured Coprococcus sp. Its description in RNAcentral is "partial 16S ribosomal RNA". It matches the Rfam family "Bacterial small subunit ribosomal RNA", at positions 524 to 776 of the family's 1533-position model. Lineage: Bacteria; Bacillati; Bacillota; Clostridia; Lachnospirales; Lachnospiraceae. The record is from RNAcentral.